GUCAUAGCUCAGUGGCAGAGCAGCUGCCUUGCAUGAAGAAGGUUCCAGGUUCAAUCCCUGGUAUUUCCA
This 69-nucleotide transfer RNA is filed under the name Podarcis lilfordi (Lilford's wall lizard). RNAcentral's name for it is "tRNA.Ala". It matches the Rfam family "tRNA". Rfam says of the family: Transfer RNA (tRNA) molecules are approximately 80 nucleotides in length. Their secondary structure includes four short double-helical elements and three loops (D, anti-codon, and T loops). The record is from RNAcentral. Lineage: Eukaryota; Metazoa; Chordata; Lepidosauria; Squamata; Lacertidae.